ACCUUUUGCAUAAUGGGUCAGCGACUUACGUUUUGUGGCGAGCUUAACCGAGUAGGGGAGGCGUAGCGAAAGCGAGUUCGAAUAGAGCGAGAAGUCUCAAGGCGUAGACCCGAAACCAGAUGAGCUAUCCAUGGCCAGGUUGAAGGUGUGGUAACACACACUGGAGGACCGAACCGACUAGUGUUGCAAAAUUAGCGGAUGAGCUGUGGAUAGGGGUGAAAGGCUUAACAAAUCUGGAGAUAGCUGGUUCUCCCCGAAAACUAUUGAGGUAGUGCCUCGUGUAUUGCUCCAGGGGGUAGAGCACUGUUAUGGCUAGGGGGACAUGGCGUCUUACCAAACCAUGGCAAACUCCGAAUACUUGGAAGUAAGAGCACGGGAGACAGAGCACCGGGUGCUAACGUCCGGACUCAAGAGGGAAACAACCCAGACCGCCGUUUAAGGUCCCAAAUAUUGACUAAGUGGAAAACGAAGUGUGAAGGCUAAGACAGUCAGGAAGUUGGCUUAGAAGCAGCCAUCCUUCAAAGAAAGCGUAAUAGCUCACUGAUCGAGUCCUCAUGCGCGGAAGAUGUAACGGGGCUAAGUCAAUAACCGAAAGCGCGGAUUUGCACGAUAAGUGCAAGUGGUAGGGGAGCGUUCUGUAAGCCUGCGAAGGUGGUUCGAGAGGACUGCUGGAGGUAUCAGAAGUGCGAAUGCUGACAUGAGUAACGUUAAAGCGGGUGAAAAGCCCGCUCGCCGUAAGCCCAAGGUUUCCUGCUCUACGUUCAUCGGAGCAGGGUGAGUCGGCCCCUAAGGCCAGGCUGAGAAGCGUAGUCGAUGGGAAGCAGAUUAAUAUUUCUGCACCAUGUGCAAGUGCGAUGGGGGGACGGAGUGCGAAAGAUCAUCCGGGUGUUGGAUGUCCCGGUUUGUGAGUGUAGAAGGCCGACAGGCAAAUCCGUCGGCAGAUCUUCGAGACAAAGCAUCGAGGUUCUACGGAACCGAAGUGAUCGGAAGUGCUUCCAGGAAAAGCCUCUAAGCUCCAGCUUGCAUAUGACCGUACCGUAAACCGACACUGGUGGGCGAGUUGAAUAUACUCAGGCGCUUGAGAGAACUCGGGAGAAGGAACUCGGCAAAUUGACACCGUAACUUCGGGAUAAGGUGUGCCUUUGUAGCGUGAAGAGAGAAACACUCGGAGCGUGAAGAGGCCUCAGAGAAUCGGUGGCUGCAACUGUUUAUUAAAAACACAGCACUCUGCAAAGACGAAAGUCGACGUAUAGGGUGUGAUGCCUGCCCGGUGCUGGAAGAUUAAGUGAUGGGGUGAGAGCUCCUGAUCGAAGUCCCAGUAAACGGCGGCCGUAACUAUAACGGUCCUAAGGUAGCGAAAUUCCUUGUCGGGUAAGUUCCGACCUGCACGAAUGGCAUAAUGAUGGCCACACUGUCUCCUCCCGAGACUCAGUGAAGUUGAAAUGUUUGUGAUGAUGCAAUCUCCCCGCGGCUAGACGGAAAGACCCCAUGAACCUUUACUGUAGCUUUGCAUUGGACUUUGAACCGAUUUGUGUAGGAUAGGCGGGAGGCAGAGAAAGCGCAACGCCAGUUGUGCCGGAGCCG
Molecule: ribosomal RNA, 1584 nt
Filed under: human gut metagenome
Description: bacterial LSU rRNA
Rfam family: Bacterial large subunit ribosomal RNA
Source: RNAcentral